AAAAGAAAAACCUGACCAGUGAACUUCAAAGAACAAAGAACACUCUGGAUGAGAGAGAGAGAAAAUACCAAACAGAGAUGGAAAAGUUAGCAAAUGAACUCAAUGAGAUGAAUAGGAGCAUUGAGCAGGUGAAGGAAGAAAAAGAAAAUUUGACCAGUGAACUUCAAAGAACAAAGAACAUUAUGGAUGAGGGAGAGAGAAG
Electrophorus electricus (electric eel) is the source of this 202-nucleotide non-coding RNA. The record is from RefSeq and is a predicted model, not a curated record. NCBI's taxonomy places the organism in Eukaryota, Metazoa, Chordata, Actinopteri, Gymnotiformes, Gymnotidae.